This 862-nucleotide long non-coding RNA is filed under the name Physcomitrium patens. Its description in RNAcentral is "long non-coding RNA (PPAT_LNC009574)". The record is from RNAcentral. Lineage: Eukaryota; Viridiplantae; Streptophyta; Bryopsida; Funariales; Funariaceae.
UCGUAUUCAGAGGACUAAUCAAAAUGUACUCGAUCUUGCAAUCAAUUAACUCAUUUGGAGGUUAUGGUCUCUUCCCUUAGUCACACUUAGUCGCACCUAGAUUCAGUCAUCACCUCACGCAAUGCGGGAACAGCGGUUCUUUCCUCUUCAACAUGAUAAUGGUGAUAGCAUUCUGGAAGAGUAUCUCCUACUUCAAAGGCCCUGAUCCCACUGAUACUUCAUGUUGUGACAUAUUCUGGUCAGAGCUUGUGAUAUUGAUCACAAUACAAAAAUUUGUUGGAAUGGACACUGGUUUGUCCAUCUAUGCAUUCAAGAAAUGUUCAGGUAGAUGUCACUUCCCUAAAUAUUCCUUUUUGAAGUCAUCGUCUUGCUGGCCCACACUGACUGGUACAAGUUUGUUGGAAUCGUAUAAUCCUAUUCAUCCCUUCAAACAUCAGCACGUGCAAUAAAAAAAAUUCGUGUGCAGAAUCAGUCUUAAGAGGCGAGUUAAUCAGAUAGUUAAAUCACGCGUAUGUGUGAUACUGUGCACUUAUUUCUUACCACAGCAGUUUGACAAGUUGGACAUUCCUGAUCGGAUUCAUGGCAAUCGUUCGGAAUCAGGACCCAAAUUUUUUUAAAAUAAGAUCGAAGAGUAUCAAGAAUUCUGGACAUCAAAUCUAAACAAACUGCACAGUAAGUAAGACUUCGGUAGAAGUUCCGAGUGGAUUGUACUAUGAUGUCAAUAACUGCAACCAUUUACCAACCGACAAAUAAUCCAAUCAACGGAUCUGGGAAAGUCGAAUCUCAUGUUGACUAACCUUGAUCUCGACUACGUAUCCAGUUUGUCUCAGUAAAUGAUAGAUGCUCCUGAUCUCAAUUCUCC